Molecule: unclassified non-coding RNA, 328 nt
Filed under: soil metagenome
Description: partial contains 5.8S ribosomal RNA, internal transcribed spacer 2, and large subunit ribosomal RNA
Rfam family: 5.8S ribosomal RNA (bases 1-120)
Source: RNAcentral
GAUGAAGAACGAAGCGAAAUGCGAUAAGUAAUGUGAAUUGCAGAAUUCAGUGAAUCAUCGAAUCUUUGAACGCACAUUGCGCCCCUUGGUAUUCCGAGGGGCAUGCCUGUUCGAGCGUCAUUAUAACCCUCAAGCUCAGCUUGGUGUUGGGGCCUGCUGCACUGGCAGCCCUUAAAAUCAGUGGCGGCGCCAUCUGGCUCUAAGCGUAGUAAUUCUUCUCGCUAUGGAGUCCUGGUGGAUGCUUGCCAUCAACCCCCAAUUUUUCUAUGGUUGACCUCGGAUCAGGUAGGGAUACCCGCUGAACUUAAGCAUAUCAAUAAGCGGAGGA